UUUAUUUCAUAUUGUUUCAUAAUUUAAUAUUGCUAAAAUAACACACAUUACACUCGCUGUUUACAAAAGAUUCCCGCGAUUAACGUAAAUUACGUUAUUCGUGUUGCAAGACAGACUGUCUUACCUAACAGUAAGAAGGAGAAGUGUUUUUUAAAGUUAAAUCAACAACUUUGAGAUAGUAAAAAUAGUAAACACAGUAUAGUCUUUAUGUUAUGCCUAAAGUGUUUGUUUUCGCAAUGUACGUACAGGAAUAAGAUUGUUACUGACUAUGAGUAGUUUUUCAGUAAGGAUCAGGUCACUGCAUGAGAGAUCAGGGUGAGGGCGACUUGUUUCAGGUCGAUGAGAAAGUCAAACAACAUAAACUGAGUCUAUAUGAAAACACAAAAGACAGCUAAAAUGCAUUUUAAGCAGACGUUUUUGUGGGUUCUACAUCUGUGUAUAGACAGGCUAAAUCUGUUCAUAAGUGCUUCAGUUUCAUGACAGUAGCCUAGUAAAUAGAGUUUACAUGUGUCAUAUUUAGAAUCAGUUUACAUAUAACAUUGAUUCUUAAUUCUUGAUAUUGUUUAAUGUCAUUUAUUCACCGAUUGUAUUAAAGGACUCUCGUCGUGUAAUACUGUCACAGAGCAGUUGUUCUUGUGUUGCUGGGACAGCACAUUGUUGCACUACUCAGAGCUUGGCAUCAGUGAAGUUCACAGCUGUACUGAAACGGUUGAGAGCUGACACAGACCUAGAACAAUGAGGUUCUGUCUGCAAGACCCAAAGAAAGGAAGCUUGCUGAUGUAUUAAGGAGUACCUUUUAAAAGAGUGUCACCUGUAAGCUGCCUGACCUCACAGUCCUCCAAGUAGCAGAGGCGUUUAAGGACCUUGCCAGUGCUGUAGCCCCUUCGGUCACCACUAUCAGGAUGUCACAUGUCAAUUCUUUGGUGGAUUUUGGCUUUGGCAGAGUUUAGUAUGGAAGUGUGCUGUCAUACCAGCAGCAACAACACGCAACCUUAAUCGCUAUCUACAACCCCAUAACUACAACCUCUGCAACUAUUUGGCUACAGCCUUGACACAUCUGUUUGCUUGAUAGUUAUUUAUAUUUACAUGUUUACAUUUCUGAAGUUAAGGUAGUUAUUUACAGUAUAUUACAUACAUACUUUACUGCAAUGUAAAUGUUCAAAAUCAUUUAGUUUUACAUUCAUGCACUGCAGGCAACACUGUAUGAAAGUUAUUUACAGUAUAUUUAAAUACAUUACUGCAUUGUAAAUGUUCAAAGCCACAUGUUUACAUUCCUGCAGUGCAUGCAACACUGAAUAAAAGUUACUUACAGUAUAUUUACAUUCAUUACUGCAUUGCAAAUGUUCAAAGUCAUUUAUAUUUACAUGUUUACAUUCCUGCAGUGCAUGCAACACUAAAUAAAAGUUAUUUACAGUAUAUUUAAAUACAUUACUGCAUUGCAAAUGUGUAAAGUCAUUUAUAUUUACAUGUUUACAUUCAUGCAGUGCAGGCAACCCUGUAUUAAAGUUAUUUACAGUGUACUUAAAUACAUUACUGCAUUGCAAAUGUGUAAAGUCAAUAUUUACAUUCCUGCAGUGCAGGCAACACUGAAUAAAAGUUGAUUAUAUACAAGUCAAUAUUAUUUAUACCUGAACAAAACUAAAUGCAAUACUUGGUUCACUGGAUAAGGCAACGUCCUUUCAAAGCCAGCGACGCACUUUAAGGCUCAAUAGCACGAUCAAAUGAUCACUUUUAAAAUGACUGCAGAUCCUUGUAUGAGGAGUGAUGUUAAAUCGCUCGCGUCGCAUGUUGUGAAUCCAUUUUCUGCGUGAUUUUUGUCCACAAAAAACAUUUGGAAACUCAUACUUUUGAGGAGUCCUCACAUAACUGGACACAGCAAUGUUCAGCUUAACUACUUUCUUUCCGCUGUUGAUAUUUAAACUUUCUGGAAGCCAUUACUAUAAUGGUUAACUAUAUAAUGAUAUAAAUAUACUUUAGUUAUAGAUCGCUCUCAAAUAAAUUUUAUGAAAGCAUUUUGCUGCUAGUACACUCAGAUACGAAAUGCGCUAAGUAAAUAUGCUCAGAUUUUUCCAGAAAUACGUGAGGAGAGCCAGAUUGCGCAAAAGGUGUGCAAUGCUGAGCUCCUUGAGUGCUGCGCUCUUGGCGGGUUAUGAUUGGUUGAAUGGUAACCUUGCAUCUGAUUGGCUAAAGAGUACGAGUGACCCAAGUUGGAGAGCGCGCUGCCAACAAAGUCUCAAAAAACACACACAAAUUCAAAGCAAUUCACACACGAAAGAGACGAUUCGUACAUUCACAGUCAUGAUAAACUCAAAAUUUAAAACUUUUCGUACACAGUUCUACAUUUGUGAAUUGUUUUUUUUUCGUUUGUGAAACGUAUUUUAUGAAUAUGUAUUUUUAUUUUGUGUAUGUACAUCGUUUUUUGCGAAUAUAUAUAUUUUUUUGUGUAUGUAAAUUAGAUUUCAUGCAUGUGAAAUAGUCUACGCAUGUGUGAAUCAUGUUUUUUGCGUGAAUUAUUAAUGAGAUAAAAUUAUCUCCAUACAACAGACGUUGGAAUGUAAGUUACCAUGUCAGUGACUGUUGCUUUUAUUGGUUAUUUUUUGUGGUUUAAUGUUUAAUAUAGAAAUAAAUAAAGUCAUAGGCUACUAUAGGCUAAUCAGAAUAAAAUAAUCAUAUAAUCAUUGUGACUUUAUUAACAAAAGAAUGUUACAAUUAUACUAUGUUGUUGAGUGCAUUGUGUGUCUAACUAAAACUUUUUUACAGAUACAGCAUCAUUUCAUCAUCUAUAUGGUGGGACAACCUGCUAGACAGGGUAAGUUAUGCUACAAAGAUAUUGAUUUCUGUGAUGCAAAGCUGGAUUUUCAUCAUUCCAGUGUCACAUGAUUAUUUAGAAAUCAUUUUAAUAUGAUUUAUUGUCAAUAUUGGAAACAGGUUUUUUUUUUUUUCAAAUAAAUGCAGGCAUGAUAAGCAUAAGAGACUUCUUUCCAAACAUUUCACCGGUAGUGUACACACAUGGUGGGACACAAUAUUUCUGAAACAGAAAAAUACAUACUCUUCGUCUCACAAAAUCUUUAUCUGUCUCUAUAAAAACUAUCAUCUACAUAAAAUAUUGUUAAAGAAAAUCAUUAAAUAAUGUGUUUUUUUUGUCUUGUUCUAGUUGAAGACAUCUGUUUCUACCUCAAAGAAGGCAUGGAGAGACACAUUAAAGAAUAUGUGAAUUGUGAAAUUGGUGAGUUGGGGAUUGCACAGACAGUGGAAGUUUUGCAAAACCUACUUGGUGUCACACAUGGGUGUGAAAUUGUUUUUUGGACUCAUUUAUGCACUUAAACUGAACUACCUGAAGAACCUCAAGUGCACCUUUGACCUUUCAAAAAAUCCUAAUGGAACUGGACUUGAUACAACCAAGCAAUUACUGAAAGAUGCUUCAGUGAAUACCUGACAGACACGCUGAUACAUCCCCCUCAAAGUCAGAGGUGGGUAGUAACGAAUUACAUUUACUUCGUUACAUGUACUUGAGUAAAUUUUUUGGGUAACUAGUACUUUUAGAGUAAAUUUAAGGAUAGGUACUUUUUACUCUUACUCAAGUACAUUUCUAGUGAAAAAACUGUACUUUUACUUCGCUACAUUCGGCGGCGUUACUGCGCUACUGUCAAAUGGUAUUAAUUAAUGAAUAUAUUUUUUUAAAAAGUUUAGGGCGUGUUCGAAAGUUUCGCGAGACAGGCUGCGUCAUGCUUUAGCGCGCGCGACCGCGCGGUCACACCCUUUAGCGCGCGCGGCCGCGCGUAGAUGAUAUGAGAAGCAGAUGAGGGCGCGUGUGCGUUGUGCGAGUAAUCGGAGGGAGAUCAUGCAUCGCGGCUUCAAGUUCGGUCUAUGUUUUCACUUCAAGAGGUCAAAAAGAAUGCGUUUCAUAAUGCGAUGCAUGCUUUGUUCAAUAAACGAGCUGACAUCUCAGCGUACAGGAAUUCAAGAUCCAACCUGAAGUGGUAAGUCACAGUAAUGUCUAUUUGAACACUGGUCAUUUCACACACUGUCCGAGUUUUUUUGCCAUAUGCACUCUUGUGCAAGCGAUGACCAAACAAGUGUAAGUUAAACCAUACAAACAGCACGUUCACAUCUGCACAUUUCCAUAUAAUUUCCCCACAACUAAAUGUAGAAAAUACAUUCAAAUAAAAACGGGAUUGUAUUUUAUUUAAAUCCUUCCUAAAGAAUGAAUGAAUAAAAAUAAAAGAAUAAAGUUUGAUUUUAAAGAAACAUGUAUUAUAUAUUAUAAUAAAUGUAGAGUUGAUUUGCACAAACAGAUAAGUUCCAUAUGAAAUUCUAAAAUGAUCAUUUUUAUUAGGCUCCUGUUUAUGUUCAGUAAUUGCACUUUAAUGGCAAUGAAAAUAACCUAUUCAUAUAAAAACAUGAUAACAAACAGACACACACGUUCUUUUUUGUUUACUGUUUGCAUGUUUAAAGGCAGAUACUGACAAGUUUGUGUUGUGAACAUGAAAAUAAAUACAGAGUUAACUGUCAGAAAAACAUCUGUGUGUGUGUUUGAGAUUUUUUCUCAAAUGACACGUUAUGUGAUGUUAAUGUACCCAUUGGAGGACUGAGAUAGGCUGCUUUACUUAUAAGCAGAACAAUGAGACUUUUAAGGAGAGGUUUGUGAAAACCCUUCAAGUAGUCUGAAAUUCAGUGCUUUUGCGCUUACUUCUCUAUCAGAUCGGAAGUAACGAGUAACUAACUACUUGAGUAGUUUUUUCAUCUGAUACUUUUUUACUCUUACUCAAGUAAAUAAUUAGAUUGAUACUUUUACUUUUACUUGAGUACAUUAUUGUAUAAGUACUUGUACUUUUACUUGAGUACAGAUUUUGGGUACUCUACCCACCUCUGCUCAAAGUGGGUACAUUUUUGUACCUUUAUAAUAAACUUUUUAACAUUACAGGAAUAUUGCACUUUUAUAAAACAAAAAUCCUGAUCAUUUACUGUCUGUCAUCCAAUUUACCAGGAUGCAAUCGCAUUUGCCUUCAUGCACGAGCUGAUGCACGCGCCCAAUGCGUGUGUCUGUGUGUGCGCGCGCGCGCGAGUGAGCGAACAAGGGAGAGAGAGAGGCAGGGUUGUGCUGAUUUAUAUGCUUCUGAUACUAUUUUAAUUUUCUUUCUAGUUUGUUUCACUAAACCGUAUCUCCGCUAUUUUAAACAGUACUCGACAUGUACUCCAGGAUUUGUUUUAAACUCCUCAAAAAAUAGAGUAAUGGUGACAGCCCUAAAUCCAAUGUAGAGAGACAGUAUAGUCCAUGCAUUAAAAGUGUUUAUUAGCAUGUAGAACUUGUCGGCUUUAUCAUUUUAAAAGUAGAUCACCACACAAAAGUCUGGACAGAGUAAUUGUGAAACACGCAAGUCUUUUUGAGUUGCUGUGCCUUUCUUCUCAAAUGUGUUUUAUAAAUCUUAUGCCUGCCCGCUGCAGCUCAGUCGUGUAAACUUCCGAAAUUUACCAGGAUGCAAUCGCAUCGCAUUCUUGCAGGCACUGAUCCACGCGCCCAGUGUGUAUGUGUGUGUGUGUGUGUGUGUGUGUGUGUCUGCCAUGCGUGCUUGUGUCUGUGUGUGCAUGUCAUUUGGAACCAUGUAUUAUGUGAGAUUAUCUUUUGUGAAAAAGCCAAGGUCAGUGUUUUUGACAUUGAGAAUAAAAUAAAAUAUGUGUUUUCAAUAACAACCAUUAAAUCUGUGUCUGUAUUGCAUAUUCAAACCUUACCAUUCCAUAACAGACUAAGGAUACUUCCAAUGACUAAAAAACUUUAGACUAGACUAAGACUAAAACUCUUAUUAUAUGUAGGGGCAGUUUCCCGGACCAGGAUUAGCUUAAUCCAGGACUAGGCCUUAGUUUAAUUAGGAAAUAUAACUAGUUUUAACAAACAUGCCUUACUAAAAACAUUACCUGUGUGCAUUUUGAGGUAAAACAAAGGGCCCUGAUGUAUUUUAAGAUAUGUAAGUGCAAGUUGUUUUCGGUUUGGAGAGCUCUUAAAAGUGUUUAAGUCUAGGACUAGUCUAAUCCCUGUCCGGGAAACCGCCCCGUAGUCGACUAAAACUAGACUAAGGGCCAAUCCCAUUUCUCUGUCUUACCCCUUCCCCUUCCCCUACCACUUCGUCUUACCCCUAGCCCUUGUCCCUCAAAACCAAGUGUUAAGCGCUAGGGGUGAAAACAUACCCCUAUGAAAUGAGACACCGCUUGGUUACGGUUACGUCAUCAUGCAUCGUCGUUUGCUGGCUGCCAGUUAAAACUGUAGACAAGCAUGCAGUCCAUUCAUGGCUAGUUAGAGAAAUACGGGAAUGUUGUGCAAAUCAGCAAAUACGGGAAUGUUGUGCAAAUCAGCAACGUAACGUUAGCGUAGCAAACUAGCGAAAUUUUAAAACAUUUAAAUUAAGAACAUAAUUCAAAUAUAUAUGAACAGGACUGUGUAGAGCACAAAACAAGACAUUAGUAAUUUUUAAAUUAAUUAUUAAGCCGAAAAUACUUACAUUUAUGGGACUCUCUGGACGCUCUGGCCGCCAUUUUUGCCGGUUGCGCAGUGUAUUCUGGGUACCCCUUGGUUUCAAGUAAGCUCGCGGAAAUUCUUGGUUUUAAGGGGUAUCUACCACUUGCCCUUAGCCCUACCCCUUGAUCAAAAUGAGAAUUGGGAUAGCCCUUACUCUCACGUGAACGUGCAAAACUAAGGGGUAGGGGUAAGGGGAAGGGGUAAGACAGAGAAAUGGGAUUGGCCCUAAGACUAAAAGAUUUCAGAUGACUAAAAUAAGACAAAAACUAAAUGUGUGUUAUUCAAAAGACUAAAUCAGAAUUUGCUGCCAAAAUUAACACUGGUUUGAGAUUUAAAUAGUAGCGGAUGAGUGGUGCCUUUUUCCUUUAUAACUAUGCCGGUGGACAGUCACCCAGGUAGCCUGCCACGUCAGCUCUAAUGUCGGAAACUUCAAAUUUAAGUAAUAGAGAAAUUUACUGGCCCAUUGAAAAGAUUUAUCGGCCAUGCUUUAUCGGCCAUGCCUUAUCGGCCAUGCCAUGCUUUGUAGUUCUUUGUUUCUAUUUCAUGUGAAGCUGUUUUGGUACGAUGAAAUAAAAAAAUCGCUAUAUAAAUAAAGUUGAAUUGAAUUAUAUAGAGAUUGCU
Molecule: non-coding RNA, 7132 nt
Organism: Misgurnus anguillicaudatus (oriental weatherfish)
Lineage: Eukaryota; Metazoa; Chordata; Actinopteri; Cypriniformes; Cobitidae
Source: RefSeq, a predicted model, not a curated record